Molecule: ribosomal RNA, 253 nt
Filed under: uncultured bacterium
Lineage: Bacteria
Description: partial 16S ribosomal RNA
Rfam family: Bacterial small subunit ribosomal RNA
Source: RNAcentral
UACGUAGGUGACAAGCGUUGUCCGGAUUUACUGGGCGUAAAGAGCGCGCAGGCGGUCGUUCAAGUCGAGUGUGAAAGCCCCCGGCUCAACUGGGGAGGGUCACUCGAUACUGAUCGACUCGAAGGCAGGAGAGGGUAGUGGAAUUCCCGGUGUAGAGGUGAAAUUCGUAGAUAUCGGGAGGAACACCGGUGGCGAAGGCGGCGACCUGGGUGGAUACUGACGCUGAGGCGCGAAAGCGUGGGGAGCAAACAGG